Molecule: long non-coding RNA, 521 nt
Organism: Oreochromis aureus
Lineage: Eukaryota; Metazoa; Chordata; Actinopteri; Cichliformes; Cichlidae
Exons: 3
Source: RefSeq, a predicted model, not a curated record
AUUUGAGGGUUCCCGAUGGCUAGGGAACCCUGAAAUUAAUGCAAAUAUGCUAAACAGUUGAGCUCAAUGAUAUUUAAUGAAGUGGCUGGGUCUCCGGGGGCCCGGGGAGGUUCUGGGGGCUGGUCCUUACAGCAGAGUGGUCUGAAAUACUGACAUGCAGGCCGAGGUCCAUGGGGACUGCCAGCCCCGGCUCCUGUUACCACCAGUGUUCUGUCAGGUUUUGGUGAGCCAGUGUGAGCCGUUUCCUCAGUUUCCUGUUCUGAUCUAACAGAUGGAGCCCCGGUGUUGUCCUCUGCUGCUAAGCCCAUCUGAUUCUGCAACUUCGAUGCCCUUCUACACACCUUUGUAAUGCGUGGCGGCUACAUGAUUUACUGUUGCCUUCCUAUCAGCAAAUCAACAACCAUGCCACAUUCAAAGUCACUUACAUCACAUUUCAUUCCCAUCCUGAUUCUCAGUUUGACCAUAUCUAAAUGCCUAAAUGUAUUAAAUUGCUGCCAUGUGAAUGGCUGAUUAGAUGUCUG